Molecule: ribosomal RNA, 429 nt
Filed under: Chloroflexota bacterium
Lineage: Bacteria; Bacillati; Chloroflexota
Description: Chloroflexi bacterium partial 16S ribosomal RNA
Rfam family: Bacterial small subunit ribosomal RNA
Source: RNAcentral
UGGGGAAUAUUGCACAAUGGGCGCAAGCCUGAUGCAGCCAUGCCGCGUGUGUGAAGAAGGCCUUCGGGUUGUAAAGCACUUUCAGCGGGGAGGAAGGCGAUAAGGUUAAUAACCUUGUCGAUUGACGUUACCCGCAGAAGAAGCACCGGCUAACUCCGUGCCAGCAGCCGCGGUAAUACGGAGGGUGCAAGCGUUAAUCGGAAUUACUGGGCGUAAAGCGCACGCAGGCGGUCUGUCAAGUCGGAUGUGAAAUCCCCGGGCUCAACCUGGGAACUGCAUUCGAAACUGGCAGGCUAGAGUCUUGUAGAGGGGGGUAGAAUUCCAGGUGUAGCGGGGAAAUGCGUAGAGAUCUGGAGGAAUACCGGUGGCGAAGGCGGCCCCCUGGACAAAGACUGACGCUCAGGUGCGAAAGCGUGGGGAGCAAACAGG